This 467-nucleotide ribosomal RNA is filed under the name uncultured bacterium. RNAcentral describes it as "partial 16S ribosomal RNA". It matches the Rfam family "Bacterial small subunit ribosomal RNA", at positions 29 to 507 of the family's 1533-position model. The record is from RNAcentral.
ACGAACGCUGGCGGCGUGCUUAACCCAUGCAAGUCGAACGGAAAGGCCCUGCUUUUGUGGGGUGCUCGAGCGGCGAACGGGUGAGUAACACGUGAGUAACCUGCCCUUGACUUUGGGAUAACUUCAGGAAACUGGGGCUAAUACCGGAUAGGAGCUCCUGCUGCAUGGUGGGGGUUGGAAAGUUUCGGCGGUUGGGGAUGGACUCGCGGCUUAUCAGCUUGUUGGUGGGGUAGUGGCUUACCAAGGCUUUGACGGGUAGCCGGCCUGAGAGGGUGACCGGCCACAUUGGGACUGAGAUACGGCCCAGACUCCUACGGGAGGCAGCAGUGGGGAAUAUUGCACAAUGGGCGGAAGCCUGAUGCAGCAACGCCGCGUGCGGGAUGACGGCCUUCGGGUUGUAAACCGCUUUCGCCUGUGACGAAGCGUGAGUGACGGUAAUGGGUAAAGAAGCACCGGCUAACUACGUG